AGCUCCUGCAGGUCCCGAGAGGCUGUUUUUGAAGAGAUUGCGAAGUUAGACAGCAGUUCCUAUUUUCUGUAAGUAAACAUCUGCUGUAGAAGCAACUCCAAACCUACAAACACACCACUUUUUCACAGUAAGCCUCAGCGCUAGAUAGGAACAGUGAGGUAUCUGCGCUGGAUUGCAGUCAUUUUAAAAUACGUCUUUAAAUCUGUUCCUUCGUGCAUUAGAAUCUCUGCAUGUGAACCGGCGGCUUGGUUCACAAGCAACAGUUAUCGCCCACUGAAAAACACACCUUCCUUAAACAAAAGAUACUUUUUGUUCCCACGAAGCUUUUUCUGCUGCCAUAUCCAGCAACAAAUGACACAAAAGACAAACUCCGCCAUCCUCAAGAGUGGUGUCAGGCGAACAGAAACAGCAAACAAAAUAACAGCAAAAGCUUCAGAAACAAAACCAAGCACCCGGAGAGUGCACAGCACGCAAAAUCGAGUUUUGUGACUAAGACUGAUUGAAUGAGAGUAACACAAGUUUGUUCGGGACACAGUGGGGCCACUCAACCAAAUCCGGAAAUUAUACAAACGAUAAAUAACAACUCCUUAAAAUGUUUUAAGUGCGUUUGGCACAAAAGUUUAUGGUUAUUCACAGGAAGCAUCUUAUCAAUUUAAUAUCACCACGUUGCAGGCUGUGCACCCGUCUCGUCAUAAUCUCUUUUAAGAAAACCGCUAAUGACCCGGAGUGCUGGAAGCCUAAAAACUGUUGUCAUCUAUCUCCCAGGACUGUGGGCCUGAUAGUGUCACGAGCAGAAACCAACUAGCGGCCAGAAGCCCAGGAGUCCCCGGCGAAUUGUUUCGAAGCACAGUCCCCACAAUCCGCGUGCUUGGGCGAAAGGACUGGAGGUGUGUGCGCGGUCCCUCCGCCCUCCGGGCCGCGCGUCCGCAGCGCUCCAGGCUGUCAGGACUCCUCUGCUGUCCAGCAGGUUCUGCUGUGUCCCCAAACAUGUACAACAGGAAGUGCUGUAACUUGGACUCUAGGGUUUCAAACUCGGAAAGUGUUAGCCCCAUCCUUCAUCCUAUGGGUAGAAAAAGCAGAAGCUAAUCAGCACCAAGAGAAAGGAAUAAAGCAGACCUGUAGAAUGAACUAUAAAGGUGGACCUAGAACAAAAGGACAAGAUUCAUAUCUAGUCACAUCACCUUGGACAAUGCAUAGCACUCUAUUUGAUCACAUGGAAAGGCAUUAGGAAAACCUCGGAAAUUCCAUAUCACCCAGGCAUUUCUGGCCUCUGUAAAUGACAUUAGGUGAUUUGUGGAGAAUUUAGUGCUUUUUUUCCCCCAAUUUAGACAUGGGAAGAGUAACCAGAUAUACCUGAAAACAAAUUUUUCUUAAUUUUUUAUUUCAGAGAGAGAGAGAGAGAGAGAGAGAGAGAGAGAGAGAGAGACUGAGCAUGCAAACAAGGGAGAGGGACAGAGGGAGAG
Herpailurus yagouaroundi (jaguarundi) is the source of this 1463-nucleotide long non-coding RNA. RefSeq lists it as uncharacterized. The record is from RefSeq and is a predicted model, not a curated record. The transcript is spliced from 5 exons. NCBI's taxonomy places the organism in Eukaryota, Metazoa, Chordata, Mammalia, Carnivora, Felidae.